RNAcentral lists this long non-coding RNA (1191 nucleotides) under Capsicum annuum. RNAcentral describes it as "long non-coding RNA (CANN_LNC018246)". The record is from RNAcentral. Lineage: Eukaryota; Viridiplantae; Streptophyta; Magnoliopsida; Solanales; Solanaceae.
GAAUAAAAUAAGUAAUUCAAUUAGGCACAACAUUAGUAGUAACAUUAAUUAACCACCCCAUUACAAGAAUAUUAAUUAACAAGAUCAUAAUUGUCCAUCUAAUACAAGUAGACCAAGAACAAUUAAAAUUAAUCAUGUAUAGAAUCCAUUUAGCUGUUAGCUUUCUUCAAAAACCCUAACUUUUUCAUGUACCAAAUUCACAAUUAUUUGGUUCUCACACGAUGUUCAGUACUUGAUUAAUUUGAAUUCCUACCGAAAAGUAUUGUUGGGAGUAAAACCUCCCGAUCGAGGUACUUUCGUUCUAUUUUACUAUAUAGCAGUUUUGAAUCUGCCGUUCGCUCUUUUGCAAGUGCUCGUCUAGCUCCCGCUCCUUGAUCUCUUCUUUUUGUUUUUAACCGUAUCCCUUCGUUCAACCCUAUGGGUUUUUUUUCCACUAUAGUGAUAUUUCUUUGCUACUUCUUUUCUCGGCUAAUGGAAAAAAAAUCUUCUUUUUACCCUGCCAAGCGCCAUUCAUUUCCAAAUAGUAAACGUGUUGCUGAACUCAGCGCUCCUUACCAAAGACGACUUCAUCUUUUUUUUAUACAGUAAUUAACAUCAUCGAAAUUCAAAACACCAGCAUGAUUUUUGGUCUAUCACACUUUGAAACUUCUUCCAAUAAACUUUAAGCUUUGCAUGUUUAUGAAUAUCCAUGUAUAUAUAUAUACAACCUACUGCAAAAAAAAAAAAAAAAGAAAAGGAAAUUCAGUACCAAUUAAUUUAUGGAACCUAUUAACUAAUAUGCAAAGUAAAUAAAACAAAGAAAAGAACUCACAUAUAUAAAUAUCACAUAGAGAAAAAACAUACUACAAGGUAAGCUUGACCUUCUUCCAAUAAACUUUAAGCUUUGCAUGUUUAUGAAUAUCCAUGUAUAUAUAUAUACAACCUACUGCAAAAAAAAAAAAAAAAAAAAGGAAAUUCAGUACCAAUUAAUUUAUGGAACCUAUUAACUAAUAUGCAAAGUAAAUAAAACAAAGAAAAGAACUCACAAAUAUAAAUAUCACAUAGAGAAAAAACAUACUACAAGGUAAGCUUGAGUACAUUUACUUCUUUUAAUCUAUAAAGGCAGCUCGGUGCAUUAAAACUUUCAUUAUGCACAGAGUUCAAGAAAUUAAUUAGAACCCAAUCACAAGGGUCUAUUGCGCGGAGCUUUAC